AUUGAACGCUGGCGGCAGGCCUAACACAUGCAAGUCGAGCGGUAGCACAGAGAGCUUGCUCUCGGGUGACGAGCGGCGGACGGGUGAGUAAUGUCUGGGAAACUGCCUGAUGGAGGGGGAUAACUACUGGAAACGGUAGCUAAUACCGCAUAAUGUCGCGAGACCAAAGAGGGGGGACCUUCGGGCCGUCUUGCCAUCAGAUGUGCCCAGAUGGGAUUAG
This 220-nucleotide ribosomal RNA is filed under the name uncultured bacterium. Its description in RNAcentral is "partial 16S ribosomal RNA". It matches the Rfam family "Bacterial small subunit ribosomal RNA", at positions 30 to 244 of the family's 1533-position model. The record is from RNAcentral.